AUCCUACGGGACGCAGCAGUGGGGAAUAUUGCACAAUGGGGGAACCCUGAUGCAGCGACGCCGCGUGGGUGAAGAAGUCAUUCGUGACGUAAAGCCCUAUCAGCAGGGAAGAAAAUGACGGUACCUGACUAAGAAGCCCCGGCUAACUACGUGCCAGCAGCCGCGGUAAUACGUAGGGGGCAAGCGUUAUCCGGAAUUACUGGGCGUAAAGCGCUCGUAGGCGGUAUGUCAAGUCAAGGGUGAAAUCCCCGCGCUCAACGUGGGAACUGCCUUUGAAACUGGCAAACUGGAGUGUGUGAGAGGAG
Molecule: ribosomal RNA, 305 nt
Filed under: uncultured bacterium
Lineage: Bacteria
Description: bacterial SSU rRNA
Rfam family: Bacterial small subunit ribosomal RNA
Source: RNAcentral